GCCCCCGUAGCCCAACCGGCAGAGGCGGACGACUUAAAAUCGUCGUAGUGUGAGUUCGAAUCUCACCGGGGGCA
RNAcentral lists this transfer RNA (74 nucleotides) under Halopolyspora algeriensis. It matches the Rfam family "tRNA". Rfam says of the family: Transfer RNA (tRNA) molecules are approximately 80 nucleotides in length. Their secondary structure includes four short double-helical elements and three loops (D, anti-codon, and T loops). Further hydrogen bonds mediate the characteristic L-shaped molecular structure. tRNAs have two regions of fundamental functional importance: the anti-codon, which is responsible for specific mRNA codon recognition, and the 3' end, to which the tRNAs corresponding amino acid is attached (by aminoacyl-tRNA synthetases). tRNAs cope with the degeneracy of the genetic code in two manners: having more than one tRNA (with a specific anti-codon) for a particular amino acid; and 'wobble' base-pairing, i.e. permitting non-standard base-pairing at the 3rd anti-codon position. Lineage: Bacteria; Bacillati; Actinomycetota; Actinomycetes. The record is from Rfam by way of RNAcentral.